This 71-nucleotide transfer RNA is filed under the name Collinsella aerofaciens. It matches the Rfam family "tRNA". From Rfam's summary of the family: Transfer RNA (tRNA) molecules are approximately 80 nucleotides in length. Their secondary structure includes four short double-helical elements and three loops (D, anti-codon, and T loops). Further hydrogen bonds mediate the characteristic L-shaped molecular structure. tRNAs have two regions of fundamental functional importance: the anti-codon, which is responsible for specific mRNA codon recognition, and the 3' end, to which the tRNAs corresponding amino acid is attached (by aminoacyl-tRNA synthetases). tRNAs cope with the degeneracy of the genetic code in two manners: having more than one tRNA (with a specific anti-codon) for a particular amino acid; and 'wobble' base-pairing, i.e. permitting non-standard base-pairing at the 3rd anti-codon position. Lineage: Bacteria; Bacillati; Actinomycetota; Coriobacteriia; Coriobacteriales; Coriobacteriaceae. RNAcentral also lists the same sequence under 4 other names. The record is from RNAcentral.
GGGGCGUAGCUCAGCUGGGAGAGCGCUUGACUGGCAGUCAAGAGGUCAGGGGUUCGAUUCCCCUCGUCUCC